UACGGAGGAUGCAAGCGUUAUCCGGAAUGAUUGGGCGUAAAGGGGCCGCAGGUGGCUAUGUAAGUCUGCUGUUAAAGAGUGAGGCUCAACCUCAUAAGAGCAGUGGAAACUACAUAGCUAGAGUGCGGUCGGGGCAGAGGGAAUUCCUGGUGUAGCGGUGAAAUGCGUAGAGCUCGGGAAGAACAUCGGUGGCGAAAGCGCUCUGCUGGACUGCAACUGACACUCAGGGACGAAAGCUAGGGGAGCGAAUGGG
This 253-nucleotide ribosomal RNA is filed under the name uncultured bacterium. Its description in RNAcentral is "partial 16S ribosomal RNA". It matches the Rfam family "Bacterial small subunit ribosomal RNA", at positions 524 to 776 of the family's 1533-position model. The record is from RNAcentral.